This 431-nucleotide long non-coding RNA is filed under the name Rattus norvegicus (Norway rat). RNAcentral describes it as "long non-coding RNA NONRATT014847". The record is from RNAcentral. Lineage: Eukaryota; Metazoa; Chordata; Mammalia; Rodentia; Muridae.
AUGAGUGGAGCAUGAGCAGUAAGGGGCUCAAGCAAAGGCUGCCCAGACUCUCAGGAUCUGAGCUCAAGGGCAGGAGGACUAGGAGGACUUCUGUGUGAGAGCUUGAAGACUGACCUUAUCGGUCUCGUUACAUAGGAGUUUCUGGUGGAAAUCAAUGUUUCUUCUUAUUACAGAACACAGAUGCUGUUCAUCUUGCUUUGAAGUUAAAUAAUUCUGAGCUAAUGGGAAGAAAACUGAGAGUCAUGCGUUCUGUUAAUAAAGAAAAACUGAAACAACAGAAUUCAAAUCCAAGCGUGAAGAAAGAUGGCAGUAAAUCUAAGCAGAGACUUAAUUUUACUUCUAAAGAAGGAAAAUCCCAUUCUAAGAAUGCAUUUAUUGGAGAAAAGGCAGUUCUCAUGAAAAAGAAGAAAGGACAAAAGAAAAAAGGACAA